UGCUUAAUAUUUGUUUGCUCUGAGUAUUAGAUCAUGGACAUCAGAUUAUCCUGUGUUUUGAUGUUUAGACAUGAAGUCCUUGCCCAUGCCUAUGUCCUGAAUGGUAAUGCCUAGGUUUUCUUCUAGGGUUUUUAUGGUUUUAGGUCUAACAUUUAAGUCUUUAAUCCAUCUUGAAUUGAUCAAUAUGUAGCCUUUUCAGAUUGGUUUCUUUCACCUAGUAAUAAGCAUUUAAUUUUCUUCCAUGUCUUUUCAUGACUUGAUAGCUCAUUUUCUUUAAGUACUGAAUAAUAUUUUAUUGUCUGAAUGUACCACAGUUUUUAUUUAUCCAUUCACCUACUGAAGGACAUCUUGGCUGCUUUAAGUUUGAGCAAUUAUGGUGGGAGCUGGGAGAAGCUGCUACAAAUAUUCAUAUGCAGGUUUUUGGGUGGCCAUAAGUUUUUAACUCCUUUGAAUAAAUAUCAAGGAGCAUGAU
RNAcentral lists this long non-coding RNA (472 nucleotides) under Homo sapiens (human). Its description in RNAcentral is "non-protein coding lnc-TGFBR2-5:1". Lineage: Eukaryota; Metazoa; Chordata; Mammalia; Primates; Hominidae. The record is from RNAcentral.